UGGCACAGCGUGUCGAGCCAGCCGACCUGAGAAAGCUUCAUUGCGUUACCAGACGUUCAACGGGUUACCUCCCUUGCGGGUUUUUUCACGAAACUAGUAAUACGGUACGCGCUAAGAGAACCGUCCGUCUGGUUCACACGGUCACCUGGGCCGUGCCUUCUCAGCUACACGGGACACGCCACGUUUCAGUUCGAACGGGAACCGAUAUAAACAAUAUAAGAAAAUAAAGAAAUACAUAUAUAAGAAAUAUAUAAGAAUGGACACGAAUCAAACACCACUGUCACCGCCUGCCUCGCCCCAAUUCAAGCAUGUGGAGCCGUUGCAGUCCUCGUUCAGCGUCGCGGCGCUCCUGGGGGACAAGCUGUCGCAGAAAACGAAUAACGCCGGAAUAAACAUGAAAAAGGACGACGACGCAACCUCGCGGCCUGGUUUGCCUCCCACGCCCCAGCCGUCGGAUUCGGAGGAGGACGAGCCUCUACGGAAACGGCGGUGCACGGAGCAAUGCGAAUUGGUGAAGCUAUUGCUCGAUGGUACACCACCGCCGAGUCCAGAACCUGCUCGAGUGUCGGUCAUAAUGCGUGCGAAUCGGGAUGGUACCUACAGUCCUGCCAACUUAACGCCAAAGACAACCGUGACGUCCUCGCAACUGGUCCCACGUGAAAUACAGGCUUCCAUCCCGCAGUCGGAUCUAGCCGCGCGCCAGAGUACCGCGGAGCCGGAGAAUGUUCUGAAGAGUCUGAAGUUUAAAAUGAGCCUGCGGAAAGAGGAGAUCAUCGUGAACAAUAAGAACACGGACCGAGAAACCGUUCAGCCGAAAUUACACCUCUUGGCACCGAAACCAGCACCGAUCAUGGUAACCGGGCUCCUGGGAUCCCCCUUAGUCCUCCCGCGGGCACCGCUUCUAUUGGUCACCGCAUCAACGACCACGGCAACGGCAAACAUCUCGACCCCGGAAUCAGUCGCGCGACGUCGCGUCUACGAAUGUGAGCAUCCGGGCUGCGGGAAGAAUUAUUUCAAAUCGUCCCAUCUGAAAGCCCACACGAGAACGCACACCGGCGAACGGCCGUUCUCGUGUCCCUACGAAGACUGCAACAGACGGUUCUCAAGAAGCGACGAACUGUCGCGGCACAAGCGGACCCAUACGGGCGAGAAGAAAUUCGCCUGCACCGUAUGCCAGAGAAGAUUCAUGAGGAGCGAUCAUCUGGCGAAACACGUGAAACGUCAUGCCAGAGACAGGUCGUCGACGGGAGCGAACGGCGUUCAAACGUCCGUCGCGCAGAUGACGUCCGGACCGUUGCGGGUCAGCCUGCUGCCUGUCCUCGCGCCGCGAAUCACGCAGCCAGCCCAGCACAUCAUACCGCCGCAACUGGCAGCUUAAAAAAUACGGAUCCGGCGACGUGAAGUCGCCGAGGAUGGUUGGACCUAACCAAAAGCUGUGGACGAAGCUUUAGCUACCGCACGAUUGAGAACCAUUCCAAAAUCUCUGGAUAGAUAGAACCGGAGGAUAAAUUCGGAGGAACGACGGUAGAUGUCCUCUCGAGAAUUUCGGGAUGCCGUUCGAGGAGUUCCCACGAGUUCUCGAUCUUGUAUGCACAUGUCGGGACAAAGUUUGUUGGGAGGAGCAGUACGUUCGAAGUUCGAACUUUGAACUGCCGCGGAUUCGCAUGGAGAGUGAACCUCCGCUCGCCUCUUUAACGUGUGUAAUCGUGAACCGAAUGGAAAAUGUUAAUACGAGGCGUACUUAUGACAAGGAGACCUAAAGGCACGAGGAGCGGUGAUGAUAAGUCAUGAGAACGAGGCUUCUUUGCCGUCCGUGAACCAAGUACCUAAGUGUGUCUGUGAUCUGUGAUGCAUAAGCGCGUUGACCGAGAAAAAGAGUAUUUAUUUAAGACAGUCUUUAUGAAUGAUGUAUAUAACGGCUAUGCGAAAGAAACACGCUGAAAUUAUGCUGUAUUCAUUAAUGCCGACUUGUUUGUCAUGUAAUUAUGAGUCACAUAUGUAUAUUUGCAUAACCGUACCCAAAGGCGAGACUGUAACAGACAUCGUAAGAUCUCGAGAAUUUUUUCGCGCGCGUUGAAGAGUUUCAGAGCAAUACGGAAGGUCAUGUCUCGAGAUGACCGAAGACAAGAAAAGAAAAACGACUUCUAUUUACGAAGAACUCGGCACCACACGUCGAUUGAACGAUAGUGAACCAUUCGUGCGUGACGUACCGUCUGCGGCGGUUUAGAUAAACAUGGUAAAAGACACUUAAAGAGUAAACACGUGUAGACGUUGUACGGUAUCGCGUUUCAGAUAUUUCACAUUUUCAAAUCCUCAAUGGUACAGGCGUUAACCAAUGAAAAACAAAUAAUUCGCAGUUGAAUAGAUCCACGCAGAAGCAACAAUGCAACAAGCGUAUUGCACUUCUAUGCUCACGAAGAACCGCAUCGUACCGAUCGUGUAAGUUACGAUAGAAUUCAAUUGAAACGAUAUUCACGUUGGUACACAAAUCUUGUAUAACCCCAACAGUUUAGCCAAUCACGCAUUUCAAGAAUACAUGUACAAUGUUAAUCAGGGUUUAAUCACUGAAUUGUCGGCGUAGAAUCGAAUUCUUGGAAUCAAAGAUCCGAGUGGAGCAAGGUAGGCAAAUGUUCUAUCGGAGCAAAAAGUUUCCAUCACGCAUCGUAUGCGAAGAGCUGCGCCGAGUCGAGUGCGUGGAUGUAAUCUCCGUUCUUUUGAUUAAGAUCCACAAAGAUAUUUUUUACUGAAGAUGGACGAAUUUUUUCGUUGAAAUGAUUUUUCUUAUCUCCGUAAUAUAUCCACGAUAAACAAUUUUAAAUCAUGUACCGCAAAGUUGUAUGUACGAAUACCAUCUUACGUAACGUUGACACAUCGAUAUUGUUUCGCGUGAAAGCGUUUUAGGUACGAAAAUUGUCGAAUUAUUUGUCGCGAAGUAUUUCAUUUUCAAGGUAGCGUUUCGUCCUCCGCGUUUAUCGUUACUAUAAAUACGAUUGGUCGCUUCGGAUUAAGAGAGAAUACGUUAAUCGCGUUGGACGUGUUAUCGUUGGGAGAUUCGUUGACCUAAACAGGUAAAAGGGGCGUUGGCUGGGUUGA
This is an RNA transcript of Nomia melanderi (Alkali bee), 3093 nucleotides long. RefSeq lists it as uncharacterized. Lineage: Eukaryota; Metazoa; Arthropoda; Insecta; Hymenoptera; Halictidae. The record is from RefSeq and is a predicted model, not a curated record.